This 349-nucleotide ribosomal RNA is filed under the name uncultured bacterium. Its description in RNAcentral is "partial 16S ribosomal RNA". It matches the Rfam family "Bacterial small subunit ribosomal RNA", at positions 338 to 701 of the family's 1533-position model. The record is from RNAcentral.
CCUACGGGAGACAGCAGUGGGGAAUAUUGGGCAAUGGGCGCAAGCCUGACCCAGCAACGCCGCGUGAAGGAAGAAGGCUCUCGGGUUGUAAACUUCUUUUAUCAGGGACGAAGCAAGUGACGGGACCGGAUGAAUAAGCCACGGCUAACGACGGGCCAGCAGCCGCGGUAAUAAGUAGGGGGCAAGCGUUAACCGGAUUUACUGGGUGUAAAGGGCGGGGAGGGGGGAAAGGAAGUCAGAUGUGAAAACCAUGGGCUCAACCUGUGGCCUGCAUUUGCAACUGUUUUUCUUGAGUACUGGGGAGGCAGCCGGAAUUCCUAGUGUAGCGGUGAAAUGCGUAGAUCUUAGG